GGAUUCGCAGAGGCAUUUUUGGAACAUCUCUGGAAGAAAUUGCAGGAUCCAAGUAAUCCUGCCAUCAUCAGGCAGGCUGCUGGAAAUUAUAUUGGAAGCUUUUUGGCAAGAGCUAAAUUUAUUCCUCUUAUGAUUCGGGAACAAAGGCAUUCUGUGAUGUUGCUCUCCAUGGACCAUUUUACUCAGCCUGCCAAGCUGUGUUCUACACCUUUGUUUUUAGACACAAGCAGCUUUUGAGCGGAAACCUGAAAGAAGGUUUGCGGUAUCUUCAGAGUCUGAAUUUUGAGCGGAUAGUGAUGAGCCAGCUAAAUCCCCUGAAGAUUUGCCUGCCCUCAGUGGUUAACUUUUUUGCUGCAAUCACAAAUAAGUACCAGCUCGUCUUCUGCUACACCAUCAUUGAGAGGAACAAUCGCCAGAUGCUGCCAGUCAUUAGGAGUACCGCUGGAGGAGACUCGGUGCAGACCUGCACAAACCCGCUGGACACCUUCUUCCCCUUUGAUCCCUGUGUGCUGAAGAGGUCAAAGAAAUUCAUUGAUCCUAUUUAUCAGGUAUGGGAAGACAUGAGUGCUGAAGAGCUACAGGAGUUCAAGAAACCCAUGAGAAAG
This 605-nucleotide small RNA is filed under the name Pongo abelii (Sumatran orangutan). RNAcentral describes it as "processed transcript". Lineage: Eukaryota; Metazoa; Chordata; Mammalia; Primates; Hominidae. The record is from RNAcentral.